This is a long non-coding RNA of Ahaetulla prasina, 2514 nucleotides long. RefSeq lists it as uncharacterized. The transcript has 3 exons. The record is from RefSeq and is a predicted model, not a curated record. Lineage: Eukaryota; Metazoa; Chordata; Lepidosauria; Squamata; Colubridae.
CUCACCGUCUCCUGCUCUCUUUGCCUUUGAGUGGCUUAACCAGUCAACCCAACCAGCUCUCAAUUCCUCUUUUACUUUUCCCACCCCGAUGGAAUGUUCUAGGUAUAUUUUUAUUUAGGAUUUCUGUCCAGGAAUUUUCCCUUCUCGCCCAAAAAGAAAAAAAAAAGCCAUCGAAAGGACAGACUGUUUAUGCAACUGACUGGUCCAGGAACGGCAAUUCCUAAAAAAAAUCCAAUAUGAGUCUAGUGUUGUCUUUCUGGGCAGAACCAAGAAAUGAGCCGACAACAUUCCAGAUGCAAGAAGGGGAAGAGUUGCAAAUGUGCAAAUUCGAAGCUGCAGAACGUCCGGUUGGAUAACCGACACGUGGAUUUCACUCCCUAGGGAACUCGGCAAGAUUCUAUGUUCUCAUUCUAUGUUCUAUGAAUCUCUGGCAUGAAAAACUGCAUGGUUAGAGAUUGUGAAACAUGCCUAGCCUUGCCAACUGGAGCUGAUCUCUAGCAAGGUCAGACUUGAUUAGGACUUGUUGUGGGGUCCAUAAGGAAGCUCAAGGAUGUUGCAAAAGUGGGGGCGGGAGGAGCGCAUCACUACUUCGACCUCCCCAAGAGAAUCGCACGGACGUAGCAGCCAUGAAGUUUAUCGGGAGCUGCAUUUGAUUUGUAGAAUCCUACGAAAAAAUCUUCUUCAGCACCAGCAGGUGGCGGUAUUUGGCUGACAUUGCCUGGGCUACAAGCUUAAACAGGCCAUAGCCUGCAUAGGACAUGGAUGGAAGGCCACCAGGAGAUCUCAGAGUUCCAAGCUAGCUAGACUGGGAAGUUCUUUUUUUUUAAAAAAACAAAACAUGGUGGGAAUAAUUAGUGGCAAAUCACACCUGCGCCAAUAAAACUCCCUGGACUUAUUCGUGAUGAGAGUAAGAGUUAAACUUGCUUUGAGACUUUGAUUUUUCUCUUGUACAGGUUGUCCUUGACUUACAACCACAAUUGAAGCCCAAAAAUUCCCUGGUUCAGCGAAACAUUUGUUAAAUGAGUUUUGCCUCAUUUUAUGACCUCUCUUGCCACAGUGGUUAAGGGAAUCAUUGCGGUUGAUAAAGGUCUAGUCCCUCCUUAGGCAUGAAAGUUGGCUGGAUGACUAAGAGACAAUCACCAGGACUAAGUGGUUUCUACCCUAGUUUUAGGCACGAAAGCCAGCUGGAUGACUUUGGGCCAAUCACCAGGAGAUGGGGAAUUCUAGUUUCAUCUUAGUUAUGAAAGCUGGCUGGGUGACUUUGGGCCGAUCAUCAGGAAACAGUGAGUUCUAGUCUCCCUUUAGCAUGAAAGCCAAGCCAGCUGGGCCAAUCACUAGGAGACAGUGAGUUCUAGUCUCGCCUUAGGCAUCAAAUCCAGCUGGGUGGAUGGGCCAGUCCCUUUCUCUGAGCCGGCCAACCUACCUCACAGGGUUGUUGUUGUUGUGGGGAAACAGCAGGGUGAAGCAGCGUUAGAUAUGUUUGCUGCCUUGAGUUGUUUAUAAAAGUAAUAAAGGCAGAAUAUAAGUAGAAUAAAACAAAUAAAGACAUCUUAGAAGGCACCAGGAUGGGAACAACCAACCCUCCCUGCAGAGACUCCGCUCUUGAGGGAGCAUCCAAUGGUUGGCCUUGGACGACAUUCUUGACUAGGAUUGAAAAUAUAGUCCUCUAUUUACAACCAUCCGUUUAGUGACCGUUCCAAGUUACAACAGCACCAAAAAAAGCAACUUAGGGCCCAUAUUUUUGCACAAACCAUUGCAGCAUCCCCAGGGUCACAGGUUCAAAAUUCGGACGCUUGGCCACUGACUCCUAUUUAUGACGGUUGCAGUCUCCCGGGGGGGAGGGGGGGAGGGCGGGUCACGUGAUCCCCUUUGGCGACCCAACCGACAAGCAAACGUCAAAGGGGCAAACCAGAUCCACUUAAUGGCCGCGUCAUAGCUGCAGGGAUUUCGCCAACUGGCGGUGGCCGGCAAGGAGGUACAAUGGGACGAAAACAUCACAACUAGCCACAGAAAGGAGGGGCCUCAAUUGUGGUCGUAAGCCGAGAUGGUAUUCAGCCGGUUCGAGCAAACCGGUAAGCCGGAUGUAACGUCGUCCUAUUUCGCCACGUUUUCUAGGCCGGGCACAUGCGCGGAAAGCAUGCGCGGGGCGAACCGGUGGCAAGAAUAUGUGGAACCCACCACUGGUCGCAAGUCGAGGACUACCUACUAUUGGCUUGGGGACAAAGCACGGGAAUGCAACGACAGUAAUCGGCUUUGGGGAACCUGGGUUUAGAAUGUGGUGGGAAGGUAGCCUAUGCCCAAGAAAGGAGAGAGCCUUUGUUGCGAACGGGUCUGAGCAAGGGGUUGGGCUAGAAGACCUCCAAGGUCCCCUUCCCAGCUCUAUACCGAUCGAUUGACCGAAGAUGGUGGCAGAUUCAAAGGCAGGCCAACUCGCAGCUGAGCGUCGAUCGGGGAGCGGAGUGAAUCAUUAUUCGUACGGUGACCGUGAAUCACUCUGUCAUCGUGGCUCGGUUG